Molecule: non-coding RNA, 192 nt
Organism: Vicia faba (fava bean)
Lineage: Eukaryota; Viridiplantae; Streptophyta; Magnoliopsida; Fabales; Fabaceae
Source: the annotation of a GenBank genome assembly
AUGCAGCAAAUUACAGUCCAUAGUGCACAUGAAUCCGAACUUCUUUCUUGCUGUCCUGAGUGUAAAUCUAAUCUGUUAAAAGUCCAGUGGUUGAGAGCUAAAGAGAAACAGAGAGUGGAGACAAAACACUUUUUCUACCGAUUUCUUCAUCUAAUAACAAAGUGUUACAAGAUGGAUCCUUGUUCAAGUUAG